Long non-coding RNA from Peromyscus californicus insignis, 2182 nucleotides. RefSeq lists it as uncharacterized. The record is from RefSeq and is a predicted model, not a curated record. NCBI's taxonomy places the organism in Eukaryota, Metazoa, Chordata, Mammalia, Rodentia, Cricetidae. The transcript is spliced from 3 exons.
GAAGGAAGAAAAGGAUGUCACAUGAACUCUAGCCAGCCAUGGAGACUUCACGGCCUACUCUCCAGUGGGCAGGAGGGGCUGCACACCAGAAGGAACUGGUUGGAGGAGGCAGGACUAUAAAUGUGGUUUCUGAAGGUGAAAAUAUUUCCACACAGGCUGGGAGCUGAGAACACGUUAAUGUUUCUUUAAAAAAAAAAAAAUUACUACACAGCCCUGGCUGGCCUGGAAAUGUCUGCGCAGACCAGGCUGCCCUCAAACUCACAGAUCUGCUGCCUCAGGCCCGAGUGCUGGGAUUAAAGGCAGGUGGGUUAAGGGACAGUCCUCAGGUACAUGGACCUCAGAUGGGUGCCUGAACCUGGCUUAUUAAUUUAGACAACUCCAAAUGUCUCUGGUCAUCCAACAGAAAGGCCUUCACGUAAAGGAACCCUCCAAGUGAACCCUCCGUGGGAACAGCUAGGACUUUAUAAAGAAUACAGACUGGCUGUCCACGUGCUGACCGGAAGGAAACACGCUGCACGACUUCACACUUGCUCCUGCGUGUGGGUCAGCUGCUGCAGCAACACUUUGUGAAGAGCCAGAGGACAGGAAGAGGCACAACCGGACCAUCCGGCCACGACAGUGACAGGAACGUGUGUGGCUGGGUGCCAACGGCUGUCCCUACAGGAUCUCGUCUGGUGACCUACUGCAGAGGACUCUGAAGACCAAAUGUUUGGUAGAAAAGAAUAACCUGGAUGAUGAGUUAGAAACAAACUCGGCUGGUGUUUACAUAGCUCAGGUCAACAAGAGCACACAAAGCCAGCGUCUUCCGCAUUAAAUAAGCAGCCGGGGUGAAUUAUAAAGGCUGUUUCGGGUUAAACAGUGCUGGGGAACAGGACCAUGACGAAUCCGUGCUUCAGAGGUGACCCCUGGGGAAAUCGUACUAGUUAACUUCCUGACUUGAAAUGUUAGGGCUGAGGGCUCUCUGGAGAGCAGACCACUGAUCCAGAUGCCCAGAAACAAGCCAGCACCUGCAGCCACCCUGCUCUGGCUGGCCAGAUGCUGUGGGAGGUCUGUGUUCCAGGAGCAGAGUCACUGGGGUUGUUGGCCACAUGUCCUAAUCCUGGAGACUCCUUCCAUCUCCUUUUGAGGGUUUAGUUAGACUCUGGCUUUAAGUUCCCAGAGCCAACCCGAGACUGUAUGGUUCAAAGUGUUAAGUCAUUGGGAUGGCUAGAACAUGAGAACAAAGUCAGCAUGUGGGCGCUGACGUCCGUGCUUUGGAGACUGACCUAUUUCAGAGAGGUUGAACGCUGCUCAGGGAAAAUGCCUGCCCAGCCUCGCCACACUCACACUUGCUUAAGCUAGCAAGGGAGCAAGGGAUGGUGGUGUGCCUUUAAUCCCAGCAGCACCCGGGAAGGCAGAGGCAGCCUGGGCUACAUCCCAACUUCUAAGACAGUCAGAGAGAGCUCUCUGAAAACAAAACAAAAAACUUCAAGCUGGGACUUGAGCCAAGGGGUCCUGUGAGAAUGUAGAUCAAUUCACUGUGAAGAAGGUUAAGUUAUACCUGACCGUCAGUCAACUGGACACCUCACCUUCCUCACCCCCACGUCGCUUAAAGAGCUGAAAUAAUCUUUUCCCAGUGACAUGCUAAUUUCAUCGUCCUAAUUUUCAAGCAUAAAAUGGCGGCAUGCUUCUUGCUGAUGCAGCAUGAAUGCACAGGCAGUGGCAGCCAGUGUCUGUAGACCCCGUACUGUGUAAGCAGUUCCAGAGUGUGAGGCACAUGUGGCCUUACAGGUGAGAAGUGCCAUUCACACUCAACACACUGCAGUGGGGUUCUUUCUAUUUACCGUCUGAGUUCCUAUCUGUUUUCAUCUGUGUUUAGGACUCUGGAUUUCUAAGAAAUGAAGCAGUAUGCUCUCGGAAGCAUUAGGACCAGGGCAGCGCCGGGCCGGAGCUGACCAGUGUGACCAAGGAGAACUCUGGGGACAGGAGAGCAGGGCUGCGCUUGCGGACUCAGCAGCCACUGGCAGAGAGCCAAGUGCCAAGCGGUUUCCUUUCCCAGCACAACACGCUGACACAGCAAGAACACGGCAUUCCCUUGAAAAGCAGCAGAACACACGGCUCCAGGCAGCAGCAGCCAGUGGCCUCCCUCUCUUCCAGAAGAGCGUGACCUCUACAGACAAUAGCAGAAUAACUUAAGACGGAC